AGCUCCCUGGAGUGUGCGCCAGUCGGUGGUGUCCCUGAGCCGAUACGCACAACCCCGGGGGUUGUCAGUUGAGGCCGGUGUGCAUGUCCGCUUGACGGAAAGCCUUAAGGUUUCCUGCAACCUCCACCUUGAACUUUCGGGUUCAAGGGCUAAACCGACAGCGGCAUGCUGGGGAGUCA
RNAcentral lists this non-coding RNA (179 nucleotides) under Phytopseudomonas seleniipraecipitans. RNAcentral's name for it is "6S RNA". It matches the Rfam family "6S / SsrS RNA". Rfam says of the family: E. coli 6S RNA was the first non coding RNA to be sequenced, but its function was unknown until recently. It consists of 184 nucleotides that fold into an extended hairpin structure with a large single-stranded internal bulge. The record is from RNAcentral. RNAcentral also lists the same sequence under 1 other name. Lineage: Bacteria; Pseudomonadati; Pseudomonadota; Gammaproteobacteria; Pseudomonadales; Pseudomonadaceae.